UACUGCAUCAGGAACUGAUUGGAUAAUUAUCAGGCACCAUCAGUUCCUAAUGCAUUGCC
This 59-nucleotide microRNA precursor is filed under the name Sphenodon punctatus (tuatara). RNAcentral describes it as "Spt-Mir-217_pre stem-loop". The record is from RNAcentral. Lineage: Eukaryota; Metazoa; Chordata; Lepidosauria; Sphenodontia; Sphenodontidae.